AGGAUGGCUCUUUUCCAUUUGGAAGCUCUUUUUUCAGCGAGAAGAAAAACAUUGAGCCAAAGUCAGACGGCCUGGACUUCCUGUUCAACCAAGCAGAGCAAAGUGAGGACUUCCAGUUCGCCUUCUCCUCCAAGAGCCCCUCGGCUAACAAGGAGAAGACCACAGAUGAGUUUCCCUUUUCAUUCAACUUUUAAAGAGUGUUGUAAGUUUGAU
Nerophis lumbriciformis (worm pipefish) is the source of this 213-nucleotide long non-coding RNA. RefSeq lists it as uncharacterized. The record is from RefSeq and is a predicted model, not a curated record. NCBI's taxonomy places the organism in Eukaryota, Metazoa, Chordata, Actinopteri, Syngnathiformes, Syngnathidae.